UCGUAAACAGAACCUGGAGGAGCUAUUGGCAACCAUCCCAAGUGGGCUCAUGGGUAGACAAAACAGUUACCGAGAAGAGCAAUUGGCGCUUGUAAAAGAGGCAGCUGGGGCUUCCGGUUGCACGAGCCACUGGUAGCAAUAAGCUAGGAGGCCAUUGGAAUCAAAAGCUGGCUACCCUACUGAGCAAAAAGACCGUGAAUUCUGCUGCUGCAUCCCUGAAGUCAUGAAAACGAGAAAAAACAAGGUCCAGCCUUUGUUUCUGAGUUUAUCGUGAGCCAGAUUUCCUACUUCUUCUGGAUGUCUUAGCCAGUGCUUGGCUCCAGGUCAGUGCUUUGAUGGAAUGCUGCCUGACACUUCCUGGCCUUUUCUCGGUGAAGCCAUCCCCAACAAGGAUCAAAAUGUCUGCAGACGCAUAGCCAUACUACAACUCAAGCAAUAAUCUAAGACCUAACAAAAGUUGGCUCAUGGGCUGGUAGAAUCAGUUCAUGGACUUGGUAGUAGAAGGUUUGCCUCAAACGCACAAGGCCUUGGGUUUAGUCCCCAAUACUGCAAAUGUAAAACCUGUGAAAAGGUUGCUUUGGUGGGCUUACUGCCCUCCCUUACAGCUCCAGAAGCAGAGACCCCACCCAGUUUCACCCACCAUUCCCUGGAAGUGCCUGAGACUGCGUUUUUCCUAGCAAACGUUCCAGUAGCAUCGUGAUGAAUCUCACAGAGCUGGAAGUGAUGUGCUCUGAGACCACCACCACUACCCAGGUGUCAGAAAUCAAGAGCAGGAGAAGCCCCAGGGUACAGGGAUGCUCUGGCUUCGAGGACCCUGUUAGCUCCACCUAGCCAAGCCAGUUCCAUGUUUUGCCAUCUUCAGGCACAAACCCACAUCUGCCUCAUUGCAUUGGUUUGAGAAUAAAAUAUGCUGACACUCGAACUUAAAAUUCUGCAUUUCCUUCUAAACACCUAAAUCGUUAAUGUGCACUUUUAAGACUGAUCGGCAGGGGAGUGCCAACACCCUACCCCAAAGGCUAAUAUUAAGCAUUUCCAUUACUUUUGCCCUCUUAGAACUGAGCCGUAGGAACUGCUGAUGUGUUGGCUUUAUCACAUCCAAGAAGAGCACCCGGAGGGACAACUGAUCAACAUUCAUUACCGACAGUAAACACAGGAAGCAGCCAAGGAUCGGCUUAAACCUUGACAGAAAACCCUCCUCUGUCACUGACUUCAGUGACCCCGAUACAGCUAGUGUCUGCUAAUCAUUCACUAUUGUGCCAUGCGCCACGGCCUGACUUCUGCUCCUUCACUUAUUUAGAAUCUAAUCUCAGCUCUCUGAGGCCAAAUGGGUUAGCCAAUGAGGUGAAUGAUUUACCUUUUGUGUUGUCCCUUCAGGCAUCACUGCCCUUUAAGGUUUAAGGUCUAGAAAAGGAAAUAAUACAUACUUCCUGCCUUCAGAGUUUGAAAUUCCAUUGGGAGGAAGAGAGAGCUUACAGGAAAGUAAUAUAUGGAUAUUGGGACUUGAGGUGACCCGGUUAGUAAAAUACACAUGAGUUUGAUGUCCAGCAUCUGUAGACAAGUGGUCAGCGCAUGCCAGGACUCUCGACACUGGGGAAAUGGAGCCAGGGGAUCCCUGGGACUUGCUGGCUAUCUAGUGUAGAAGAAUUAGUGAGCUCCAGGUUCAGCGAGAGACUCUGU
Long non-coding RNA from Mesocricetus auratus (golden hamster), 1677 nucleotides. RefSeq lists it as uncharacterized. The transcript is spliced from 4 exons. The record is from RefSeq and is a predicted model, not a curated record. NCBI's taxonomy places the organism in Eukaryota, Metazoa, Chordata, Mammalia, Rodentia, Cricetidae.